This is a long non-coding RNA of Pseudopipra pipra, 1517 nucleotides long. RefSeq lists it as uncharacterized. NCBI's taxonomy places the organism in Eukaryota, Metazoa, Chordata, Aves, Passeriformes, Pipridae. The transcript has 2 exons. The record is from RefSeq and is a predicted model, not a curated record.
CCCUCUUUGCCUGAGUCCCUAUCCCUAUUCAUUUCCCUGUCUGUCUGUCUCAUGCUCCACCCCAUUUUCUGGUGCAUUCCACGCCAGAGCUGAUCAAACCCUUGUGCACCCCCAUUAAACUAGCAUUGCAACCUCAAACCUCGUUGGACCCCUUUGUGCAGUGCCGCGAUCCUUCACCCCUCUCCCACAGAGUAUGGCAUAUGGUGUCCAGCGUGGGGCUUGAGGUCUGAGUCUCUCUUAUAUUAAGAGAAACUCCCUUGCUACCAGAAGGACUCAGGCAACACCUCGAGAGGUGCCUGCUCCACCAGUCAUCCCAAGCCGAACAGCAGACGGCGGAUCACUGGAUCAGCACCGGACUUCACACUGGAAAGGUUAAAGGAGGCUAUAGCACGCCAAGUCCAACAGAAGGAAAGCCAGGACAUUCUGUUUAACAAGCUUGUAAUUGCAAAAGCUAAUGAAAACUGCCAGCAAGCCUUAAAAAUGCUAAAAGAACCCAGCUUGCUGGAGAUGAUUGAAGCUUGUAAAAAUGUGGGAUCAGUAUCUCACAACGCUAAACUGAUUGUGGAAGCUUUAACUGGACUACAGCAAUGUUUCAACUGUGGCCAGAAGGGGCACUUGAAUAAACACUGCCCUAAACUAAACACCAAACCUGAGCUUCCAAAGACACUGUGCCAGCAAUGUGGAAAAGGGAGACAUUGGACUAGAGAUUGCAGAUCCAUCACUGAUAUCCAUGGGGAACUGCUGCCACCAAAAAAGUCACCUGAUUUAAAAAGAAAAGUGACUUUUAAUUCACUGCCAGACCUCAGACAGUGCAACUGUGAGCUGUAAGGAAACAGGGGGGCGAGCGCCCAGGGCGGCGCUAUGACACAAACACCCCCUCAGCUGCGUUCCAUCCUUCGCAGCCCGUCCUUUCAGCAAGUGCCAGCAAACCACAGCAUUUAGAAUGGAUUAUGUUAAGCCUACCAUUCCCUGCAGUUCAACUUAAAUAUGAUGAACAAAUUAUGCAAGUUACACUCACAAAUAUCUGCGACCCUGACCCUGAGUUGGACACCGAAGAAACCUAACUGGUCAUCUCACAGUUAGCAGCAUGCGAGAGAAGAAUUACAGUACUACCCACAUUGCUGACUGGACUUAACGAACAUAACAUUUUUAUUUGCAUUUUUGUCUCCCUUCCACCUAUAGAAGUCAACUGUUUUCCAGUGGCAAAGAUGAUGUGCUUACUGACAAAUGCACGCAUCCUUUUCCCCUCAUCACGUGGGGGAAAGGACACGCCUGUGUUUCCACAGGCCCAAAGUGGGUUUCAGCAAAAAGAGUCAAGAUCUACCAGGAUCCACCAUGUGCUACACCUGUGCCUACCUCCUCAUCAUCCUCCUCGACAUAGGAAUCGAGCAAAGAACAUUGGAAACUGCAGCUGGGCUUCCAAACUGGGCUUAUGCCAAUUCAGAGAACAUCUGGGUAAAAUUAGCUCAGGAGACAGGAAAUAAAGCCAUCUGUCUGUCCCUGUUGAACAUUAAUAA